UUCCUCUCAGCCACCCUGCAUCCAUCCAUUUCCCACCCCAACCUGCAAAAGGUAACCACUGGAUGGGCCCGGUGGCUCACACCUGUAAUCCCAGCAUCUUGGGAGGCCAAGAAUCAGAAAUCUGAGCGUAGGAAGAAGUGGGUUAGCCCUGGAGAAAGGAAAAGGAGGAUCAUGGUUCUCUGCAAAGAGCUGGAAGCUAAAAAGCAGGCUGUGUUUACUUACCAACCAGGACUCAGUGGGAUCUUUGCCAGCUUCCAAUAUGGCCUUAAAAGUAUAUGAAAUCCAAGAAAUAUUUCUGCAAAGCAAGAGAUCUUCACUGCUUUAUUUUCCACCACCUGAAUCCUUGCAGUGAGUGUAGUGUGUAUCUAAUCAAUCUAUUAAAAAAUACUUCAAAAGUUCUA
Molecule: long non-coding RNA, 401 nt
Filed under: Homo sapiens (human)
Lineage: Eukaryota; Metazoa; Chordata; Mammalia; Primates; Hominidae
Description: macrophage interferon regulatory lncRNA
Source: RNAcentral